UACGAAGGGGGCUAGCGUUGUUCGGAAUUACUGGGCGUAAAGCGCACGUAGGCGGACUAUUAAGUCAGGGGUGAAAUCCCGGGGCUCAACCCCGGAACUGCCUUUGAUACUGGUAGUCUCGAGUCCGGAAGAGGUGAGUGGAAUUCCGAGUGUAGAGGUGAAAUUCGUAGAUAUCGGGAGGAACACCAGUGGCGAAGGCGACUACCUGGCCUGUUCUUGACGCUGAGGCGCGAAAGCUAGGGGAGCAAACGGG
RNAcentral lists this ribosomal RNA (253 nucleotides) under uncultured bacterium. RNAcentral's name for it is "partial 16S ribosomal RNA". It matches the Rfam family "Bacterial small subunit ribosomal RNA", at positions 524 to 776 of the family's 1533-position model. The record is from RNAcentral.